GACGAACGCUGGCGGCGUGCUUAACACAUGCAAGUCGAACGGAAAGGCCCUGCUUUUGUGGGGUGCUCUAGUGGCGAACGGGUGAGUAACACGUGAGUAACCUGCCCUUGACUUUGGGAUAACUUCAGGAAACUGGGGCUAAUACCGGAUAGGAGCUCCUGCUGCAUGGUGGGGGUUGGAAAGUUUCGGCGGUUGGGGAUGGACUCGCGGCUUAUCAGCUUGUUGGUGGGGUAGUGGCUUACCAAGGCUUUGACGGGUAGCCGGCCUGAGAGGGUGACCGGCCACAUUGGGACUGAGAUACGGCCCAGACUCCUACGGGAGGCAGCAGUGGGGAAUAUUGCACAAUGGGCGGAAGCCUGAUGCAGCAACGCCGCGUGCGGGAUGACGGCCUUCGGGUUGUAAACCGCUUUCGCCUGUGACGAAGCGUGAGUGACGGUAAUGGGUAAAGAAGCACCGGCUAACUACGUGCCAGCAGCCGCGGUGAUACGUAGGGUGCGAGCGUUGUCCGGAUUUAUUGGGCGUAAAGGGCUCGUAGGUGGUUGAUCGCGUCGGAAGUGUAAUCUUGGGGCUUAACCCUGAGCGUGCUUUCGAUACGGGUUGACUUGAGGAAGGUAGGGGAGAAUGGAAUUCCUGGUGGAGCGGUGGAAUGCGCAGAUAUCAGGAGGAACACCAGUGGCGAAGGCGGUUCUCUGGGCCUUUCCUGACGCUGAGGAGCGAAAGCGUGGGGAGCGAACAGGCUUAGAUACCCUGGUAGUCCACGCUGUAAACGGUGGGUACUAGGUGUGGGGUCCAUUCCACGGGUUCCGUGCCGUAGCUAACGCUUUAAGUACCCCGCCUGGGGAGUACGGCCGCAAGGCUAAAACUCAAAGGAAUUGACGGGGCCCCGCACAAGCGGCGGAGCAUGCGGAUUAAUUCGAUGCAACGCGUAGAACCUUACCUGGGUUUGACAUGGAUCGGGAGCGCUCAGAGAUGGGUGUGCCUCUUUUGGGGUCGGUUCACAGGUGGUGCAUGGCUGUCGUCAGCUCGUGUCGUGAGAUGUUGGGUUAAGUCCCGCAACGAGCGCAACCCUUGUUCACUGUUGCCAGCACGUUAUGGUGGGGACUCAGUGGAGACCGCCGGGGUCAACUCGGAGGAAGGUGGGGAUGACGUCAAGUCAUCAUGCCCCUUAUGUCCAGGGCUUCACGCAUGCUACAAUGGCUGGUACAGAGAGUGGCGAGCCUGUGAGGGUGAGCGAAUCUCGGAAAGCCGGUCUCAGUUCGGAUUGGGGUCUGCAACUCGACCUCAUGAAGUCGGAGUCGCUAGUAAUCGCAGAUCAGCAACGCUGCGGUGAAUACGUUCCCGGG
This 1343-nucleotide ribosomal RNA is filed under the name uncultured bacterium. Its description in RNAcentral is "16S ribosomal RNA". It matches the Rfam family "Bacterial small subunit ribosomal RNA", at positions 28 to 1378 of the family's 1533-position model. The record is from RNAcentral.